RNAcentral lists this transfer RNA (94 nucleotides) under Nocardia seriolae. RNAcentral's name for it is "tRNA-Pro". Lineage: Bacteria; Bacillati; Actinomycetota; Actinomycetes; Mycobacteriales; Nocardiaceae. RNAcentral also lists the same sequence under 1 other name. The record is from RNAcentral.
UCGCCGUGGCCGGUUGGCGAUGGCGGGUGAGCGCGGUGCUCGCGGUGCUGUCGGCCAUGGCGGCGCUGGCCUGGAUCGGGACCGGGGCGUUGGU